This 253-nucleotide ribosomal RNA is filed under the name uncultured bacterium. Its description in RNAcentral is "partial 16S ribosomal RNA". It matches the Rfam family "Bacterial small subunit ribosomal RNA", at positions 524 to 776 of the family's 1533-position model. The record is from RNAcentral.
UACGUAGGGGGCAAGCGUUGUCCGGAUUUAUUGGGCGUAAAGAGCGUGUAGGCGGCUUGGUAGGUCCGUUGUGAAAACUCGAGGCUCAACCUCGAGACGCCGAUGGAAACCACCUAGCUAGAGUCCGGAAGAGGAGAGUGGAAUUCCUGGUGUAGCGGUGAAAUGCGCAGAUAUCAGGAAGAACACCCGUGGCUAAGGCGGCUCUCUAGUACGGUACUGACGCUGAGACGCGAAAGCGUGGGGAGCGAACAGG